UAUUAACUGCCACCGGGUAGCAUUUGUUUGUGUAUCGUUAGGUCAUUGAAGAUAUGCAAUGCGAAUGCUCUAUUUU
Molecule: non-coding RNA, 76 nt
Filed under: unclassified sequences
Source: RNAcentral